Molecule: ribosomal RNA, 433 nt
Filed under: uncultured bacterium
Lineage: Bacteria
Description: partial 16S ribosomal RNA
Rfam family: Bacterial small subunit ribosomal RNA
Source: RNAcentral
AACGAACGCUGGCGGCAUGCCUAACACAUGCAAGUCGAACGAGACCUUCGGGUCUAGUGGCGCACGGGUGCGUAACGCGUGGGAAUCUACCCUCAGGUUCGGAAUAACUCAGAGAAAUUUGAGCUAAUACCGGAUGAUGACGUAAGUCCAAAGAUUUAUCGCCUGAGGAUGAGCCCGCGUAGGAUUAGGUAGUUGGUGAGGUAAAGGCUCACCAAGCCGACGAUCCUUAGCUGGUCUGAGAGGAUGAUCAGCCGCACUGGGACUGAGACACGGCCCAGACUCCUACGGGAGGCAGCAGUGGGGAAUAUUGGACAAUGGGCGAAAGCCUGAUCCAGCAAUGCCGCGUGAGUGAUGAAGGCCUUAGGGUUGUAAAGCUCUUUUACCCGGGAUGAUAAUGACAGUACCGGGAGAAUAAGCUCCGGCUAACUCCGUG